CCUACGGGAGGCAGCAGUGGGGGAUAUUGCACAAUGGGCGGAACCCUGAUGCAGCGACGCCGCGUGGGUGAAGAAGCGCCUCGGCGCGUAAAGCUCUGUCAGCAGGGAAGAAAAUGACGGCACCUGAAGAAGAAGCCCCGGCUAACUACGAGCCAGCAGCCGCGGAAAUACGUAGGGGGCAAGCGUUAUUCGGAUUUACUGGGGGGAAAGGGGGCGCAGACGGGGAUGCAAGCCAGGAGUGAAAGCCCGGGGCCCAACCCCCGGAGUGCUGGUGGAACUGAGUGGCUGGAGUGCAGGAGAGGCAGGCGGAAUGCCUGGUGUAGCGGUGAAAUGCGUAGAUAUCAGGAGGAACACCGGUGGCGAAGGCGGCCUACUGGACUGCAACUGACGUUGAGGCACGAAAGCGUGGGGAGCAAACAGGAUUAGAUAUCCCAGUAGUC
Molecule: ribosomal RNA, 440 nt
Filed under: uncultured bacterium
Lineage: Bacteria
Description: partial 16S ribosomal RNA
Rfam family: Bacterial small subunit ribosomal RNA
Source: RNAcentral